AGAGUUUGAUCCUGGCUCAGAUUGAACGCUGGCGGCAGGCCUAACACAUGCAAGUCGAACGGUAACAGGAAGCAGCUUGCUGCUUUGCUGACGAGUGGCGGACGGGUGAGUAAUGUCUGGGAAACUGCCUGAUGGAGGGGGAUAACUACUGGAAACGGUAGCUAAUACCGCAUAACGUCGCAAGACCAAAGAGGGGGACCUUCGGGCCUCUUGCCAUCGGAUGUGCCCAGAUGGGAUUAGCUAGUAGGUGGGGUAACGGCUCACCUAGGCGACGAUCCCUAGCUGGUCUGAGAGGACGACCAGCCACACUGGAACUGAGACACGGUCCAGACUCCUACGGGAGGCAGCAGUGGGGAAUAUU
This 361-nucleotide ribosomal RNA is filed under the name uncultured Escherichia sp. RNAcentral's name for it is "bacterial SSU rRNA". It matches the Rfam family "Bacterial small subunit ribosomal RNA", at positions 8 to 365 of the family's 1533-position model. Lineage: Bacteria; Pseudomonadati; Pseudomonadota; Gammaproteobacteria; Enterobacterales; Enterobacteriaceae. The record is from RNAcentral.